RNAcentral lists this ribosomal RNA (536 nucleotides) under uncultured Alphaproteobacteria bacterium. Its description in RNAcentral is "bacterial SSU rRNA". It matches the Rfam family "Bacterial small subunit ribosomal RNA", at positions 1 to 897 of the family's 1533-position model. The record is from RNAcentral. Lineage: Bacteria; Pseudomonadati; Pseudomonadota; Alphaproteobacteria.
GAAUUCGAUUAGAGUUUGAUCCUGGCUCAGAGCGAACGCUGGCGGCAGGCUUAACACAUGCAAGUCGAACGGUCCUUCGGGAUAGUGGCGGACGGGUGAGUAACACGUGGGAACGUGCCUUCUGGUUCGGAACAACACAGGGGAACUUGUGCUAAUACCGGAUGAGCCCUUCGGGGGAAAGAUUUAUCGCCUUUGGAGCGGCCCGCGUCUGAUUAGCUAGUUGGUGAGGUAAUGGCUCACCAAGGCGACGAUCAGUAGCUGGUCUGAGAGGAUGGCCAGCCACACUGGGACUGAGACACGGCCCAGACUCCUACGGGAGGCAGCAGUGGGGAAUCUUGCGCAAUGGGCGAAAGCCUGACGCAGCCAUGCCGCGUGGAUGAUGAAGGUCUUAGGAUUGUAAAAUCCUUUCACCGGGGACGAUAAUGACGGUACCCGGAGAAGAAGCCCCGGCUAACUUCGUGCCAGCAGCCGCGGUAAUACGAAUCACUAGUGAAUUCGCGGCCGCCUGCAGGUCGACCAUAUGGGAGAGCUCCCAA